This is a long non-coding RNA of Hyla sarda, 2401 nucleotides long. RefSeq lists it as uncharacterized. NCBI's taxonomy places the organism in Eukaryota, Metazoa, Chordata, Amphibia, Anura, Hylidae. The record is from RefSeq and is a predicted model, not a curated record. The transcript has 3 exons.
CUGCCCUGUACUAAGGGGGAAUUCACACUAGGGACACACAGAACUCUAUAACACCCUAUAUCAGGGGUACUCAACUAUUCCUAGUGAGGGUCCACUUAUCCAGGUCUGCUACUGCCGCAUUGACAUGAAGGAAAUAGAUUUCAGAUUAUACAUGCCAGAAACAGGAUGACUUUAAUCAUUACUGAUCCUGGAUGAAAGGAUUUUCCUUGUAUUACAAUAUUCAUCGCUUAUUUCAUAAGUCGCAGCAAUGAGCAGUCAUGUGAGACAACAAGUAAUUACAUUGAGGAUUAUCUGAUUUCUUUGGCACGGAGCCAAAGCCAUUCCGCAGGAAGGAAAAGUCCAUGCCUUAGAUUUCCAACUCCUUACAAAAUACACUUCUGCUUUUGGCUGAAGAAGCUGAAUACAAAACUGCUGUUUUUCCAGACAAUGCUGUAUGUGAAUCCCCCAGUAGUUAAGACAAACAGUUUGAAAUAACUACAUUAAUAGCAAUUUAUUGUCCAUUUCCCACAAUUGUUGCCAGAUGAAUGAAUCAGAUUUCAGAAUUUGCAUAAAACUCCUAAUAAAGACUUGGUCACUUUUCUUCGCAUUCUACUUUCUUUUUAUUGUUACAGUUCUGUGAAUUUUAUACAAAUAAAAGAAGUAAAGGCAACAAACAAACAGAUAAAACAUGUAUUUUUUGCUUUUAAGUGCAUACGAAUUGAUUGUAAGAUGUUUCCAGGACGUCUGUACAGAAUCAAUUCUCUUGCCAUAGGUGAUGUAUAUCGACUGCAGUCUUCCAUAUGAUUAUUUGAUGAGAAUGUUACAUAAUAUAACGGUCUAGAAAAUAAAAUUAUCCAGUCAUUAAGACCAUUUUAUCUAAGUGUUCUUCCUGUUUUUGACAACAGUACAACAGUAAAUCUGGGGCCGUUCCAUUGUUAAGACGAUUCCUCUUUUGGUCCCUGUUGCAUAUGGUGUAAGGCUGGGUUCACACUUUUAUUGGCGGCUCUAACAGGUGCCUCCAUCCAAAAUGCUGCACUAUUUAGUCUGGUAAAAUACUGGACACCAUUCCUGCAAGCUCACGGACCCCAUUACAGUCAAUGGGGUAUGUCGGGUGCUGUUUAUGCCCAGCAUGGAGCAGAUCGACCAAUACAUUUUGUUCUGUUCCAAUGACAGAGCAGGACAACAGAAGGAACAAUGGUAAUGUGAAGCCAGGCAAAGUCUUAUUCUGCACAUACUUAGUGCCAAAUUUACUACAAGCCCUACUUUAUGUUUGGAACAUACUGAUUGCAAUUAUUAAAGGGGUUCUCCAGUGCUUACACAUCUUAUCCCCUAUCCAAAAAAUAGGGGAUCAGAUGCCUGAUCGCGGGAGUCCCGCAGCUGGGGACGCCCGGGAUCAUGCACGCGGCCCCCCGUUUGUAAUCAGUCCCUACAGGGCCGGCAGCGUGUGACGUCAUGCUCUGCCCCUCAAUGCAAGCUUACGGGAAAGGGCGUGUAGUCCCCGCCGGCCCUGUAGUCGCCCGUAAUCAGACACAGAGCGAACACGCUCCGCGGACUGAUUACAAACGGGGGGCCGCGUGCAUGAUCAGGCAUAGGGGAUAAGAUGUGUAAGCACCGGAGAACCCCUUUAAGAAUAGAAAGUCAUCAAUAGACUUGAAAAGAGGAUAAGUCCCAGUCUCUUUUUUAUUAGGCUAUGUUCACAUGACAGAAUGUCCAUGCAGAAUUCCGCAGGAAUAUUCAGCGCGGACAUUCCACUGCAGCAGAGCAACAUUGAUUAUACUGCACUGUACACGGGGCAUAAUUCCUGAUUCCUGAAUCCGCAGAAAGAAUAGUCUAUUCUUUCUGCAGAUUCCGCUCAGAAAUGCAUUUCUGAACAGUCCUAGUGCUUGCCGGAUUAUUCAGAUGUGCUUUCCAGGCGGACAUUCUGCACAUUUUUGGCCACCUAAGUGUUCUCAAUUUAUGAUCUAUUCCUGGCUCUGCAUUCAAUGAUUGCAAUUAAAAAACAAAAUGUGUAAACAAACCCUUAAAAUGAGUCGAUAUUAGUAUCAAAAGUAUAUCACUGCGUUCCUUUAAGGCUAUGUUCACACAGGAGAAUGUCCGCACAGAAAAUCCCUGUGUGGACAUUCCCCCUACAGUGGAGCGCCAGCAGAACAUGCCGAUGCUAGGACCACUCAGAAAUGCACCGUCUCAUAGAUGAGAAUGCAUUUCCAUGUGGACAUGUCUGUUCUUUGGGCAGACACCAGAUGUUUCCAGCACAGAAUUCCUGCUGUGUGAACAGCGCAGCAGAAUCCCAUUGAAAUCAAUGGGACUCUGCUGCUGCUGAAUCUUUGUGCGGAAUUCCAGUGUGGAAUUCUGCACGGAAAUUAUAUCGUGUGAACAUAGCCUUAACUCCUUGCCGCAAAUGGACAUAUAUAUACAUCCAUCU